AGGUGUUUAGCUCAGUGGUUAAAGCAGUUGUCUUAUACACAACCGAUCGGUGGUUCGAAUCCACCAGCACCUA
RNAcentral lists this transfer RNA (73 nucleotides) under Caudoviricetes sp. RNAcentral's name for it is "tRNA-Ile". It matches the Rfam family "tRNA". Rfam says of the family: Transfer RNA (tRNA) molecules are approximately 80 nucleotides in length. Their secondary structure includes four short double-helical elements and three loops (D, anti-codon, and T loops). The record is from RNAcentral. Lineage: Duplodnaviria; Heunggongvirae; Uroviricota; Caudoviricetes.